Molecule: small nucleolar RNA, 131 nt
Organism: Parambassis ranga (Indian glassy fish)
Lineage: Eukaryota; Metazoa; Chordata; Actinopteri; Ambassidae
Source: Ensembl
ACAGACUGAAAAUGACCUCAGGUCUAUCAGUGAUCUGGGGUCAGAUACCUGUGCCAACAGUAUUCUGGUGCAUUAAGCUUAUUGCGCUUGUCGCUUGGUGGCAGCGUGAUAAAACCCAUGUGCCGACAUCA